GACGUAGGGCGCGAGCGUUGUCCGGAAUUAUUGGGCGUAAAGAGCUCGUAGGCGGCUUGUUGCGUCGACUGUGAAAACCCGCGGCUCAACCGUGUGGCUUGCAGUCGAUACGGGCAGGCUAGAGUUCGGUAGGGGAGACUGGAAUUCCUGGUGUAGCGGUGAAAUGCGCAGAUAUCAGGAGGAACACCCGUAGCGAAGGCGGCACUCUGGGCCGAUACUGACACUGAGGAGCGAAAGCGUGGGGAGCGAACAGG
This 254-nucleotide ribosomal RNA is filed under the name uncultured bacterium. RNAcentral's name for it is "partial 16S ribosomal RNA". It matches the Rfam family "Bacterial small subunit ribosomal RNA", at positions 524 to 776 of the family's 1533-position model. The record is from RNAcentral.